Oncorhynchus tshawytscha (Chinook salmon) is the source of this 1236-nucleotide long non-coding RNA. The record is from Ensembl. Lineage: Eukaryota; Metazoa; Chordata; Actinopteri; Salmoniformes; Salmonidae.
UCGCUUCUGCCGAGGCAAGGGCGCCUGUCGCUUCUGCCGAGGCAAGGGCGCCUGUCGCUUCUGCCGAGGCAAGGGCGCCUGUCGCUUCUGCCGAGGCAUUUGAACCAGAUUCCGCACUUGAGGUACCGUGGCCGGUUGCUUCCGCUGCAGAGGCAAAGUGGCCGGUUGCUUCACCGAAGGUAUUUAGGCCAGUCGUGGCGCUUGAUGAAGCACUGUGGCAAAUUGCUUCACCUAAGGUAUUUGGGCCAGCUGCCACACUUGUCGAGGCAUUAUGGGUGGCCGCUUGCGUGGCACUGUGGCCAGUUGCUUCCUCUGCAGAGGCACUGUGGCCAGUUACUUCACCUGAGGCACUUGGGCCAGUCGUGGCGCUUGAUGAAGCAUUGUGGCCAGUUGCUUCAGCUAAGGUAUUUGGGCCAGCUACCACACUUGUCGAGGCAUUAUGGGUGGCCGCUUGCGUGGCACUGUGGCCAGUUGCUUCCUCUGCAGAGGCACUGUGGCCAGUUGCUUCACCUGAGGCACUUGGGCCAGUCGUGGCGCUUGAUGAAGCAUUGUGGCCAGUUGCUUCAGCUAAGGUAUUUGGGCCAGUCGUGAUGCUUGCUGAGGCAUUGUGGUUGGCCGCUUCUGAGGCAUUAUGAGUGGCCGUUUGCAUGGCACUGUGUCCAGUUGCUUCCGCUGCCGAGGCACCGUGGCCAGUUGCUUCACCUAAGGUAUUUGGGCCAGUUGCCAUUCUUGCCGAGGCAUUAUGGGUGAUGGCUUGCGCGGCCCUGUGGCCAGCUGCUUCACCUAAGGCAUUUGGGACAGUCGUGGCGCUUGAUGAAGCAUUGUGGCCAGUUGCUUCAGCUAAGGUAUUUGGGCCAGUCGUGACGCUUACAGAGGCGUUAUGGGUGGCUGCUUCACCUGCUGAGGCACGGGAGCCGGUAGCUUCACCUGUCGAGGCACGGGAGCCAGUAGCUUCCGCUGCAUUGUGGCCAGUUCCUUUUACUUGAUUUUGGGGAAUAUAUCUAUAAUUACCUACAAAAGAAAAUAAUACGUUUCAAAUUGUAAAAUGCCAGCAUUUGAAGCCAUUUAAUUUCACUGAAUUAAAUGUGCAGAACAAAACACACCUUUAGGUGGAGGAUAACAGGUUAUCCCUCCAAUUAGCAGGCAACAAAUCCAAGAAAUUCUAAAUAAAAAUAAAAACAUCCUAGUCAGUUAAAUACAGCUACCUGUAAAACAUGGAAGACAAGGGAAUCAAAC